Molecule: ribosomal RNA, 551 nt
Filed under: Helvella pallidula
Lineage: Eukaryota; Fungi; Ascomycota; Pezizomycetes; Pezizales; Helvellaceae
Description: eukaryotic LSU rRNA
Rfam family: Eukaryotic large subunit ribosomal RNA
Source: RNAcentral
AGUAGCUCAAAUUUGAAAUCUGGGGUCCUCGACCUCCGAGUUGUAAUUUGGAGAGGAAUCUUCUGGGGGGAGCGCCGGCCCAUGUUCCUUGGAACAGGACGUCACAGAGGGUGAGAAUCCCGUGCCAGGCCGGCUGCCUCCUCCCGUGUGAAGGCCCUUCGACGAGUCGAGUUGUUUGGGAAUGCAGCUCCAAGUGGGUGGUAAAUUUCAUCUAAAGCUAAAUACCGGCGGGAGACCGAUAGCGCACAAGUAGAGUGAUCGAAAGAUGAAAAGCACUUUGAAAAUAGAGUCAAAAAGUACGUGAAAUUGUUGAAAGGGAAGCGCUUGAGACCAGACUCAGGCCCGGGCAAACAUCUCUCCCCUCGGGGCCGUGCAAUUGCCUGGGGCUGGGCCAGCAUCAGUUGGCGUGGCGGGACAAAGGCGCGGGGAAUGUGGCUCCCCUCGGGGAGUGUUAUUAGCCCCGCGCUCAAUGCCGCCGGCGCCGACUGAGGACCGCGCCUCGGCUAGGAUGCUGGCUUAAUGGCCUUCAGCGACCCGUCUUGAAACACGGA